AUUGAACGCUGGCGGCAGGCCUAACACAUGCAAGUCGAACGGUAACAGGAAGAAGCUUGCUUCUUUGCUGACGAGUGGCGGACGGGUGAGUAAUGUCUGGGAAACUGCCUGAUGGAGGGGGAUAACUACUGGAAACGGUAGCUAAUACCGCAUAACGUCGCAAGACCAAAGAGGGGGACCUUCGGGCCUCUUGCCAUCGGAUGUGCCCAGAUGGGAUUAGCUAGUAGGUGGGGUAACGGCUCACCUAGGCGACGAUCCCUAGCUGGUCUGAGAGGAUGACCAGCCACACUGGAACUGAGACACGGUCCAGACUCCUACGGGAGGCAGCAGUGGGGAAUAUUGCACAAUGGGCGCAAGCCUGAUGCAGCCAUGCCGCGUGUAUGAAGAAGGCCUUCGGGUUGUAAAGUACUUUCGGCGGGGAGGAAGGGAGUAAAGUUAAUACCUUUGCUCAUUGACGUUACCCGCAGAAGAAGCACCGGCUAACUCCGUG
Molecule: ribosomal RNA, 490 nt
Filed under: uncultured bacterium
Lineage: Bacteria
Description: partial 16S ribosomal RNA
Rfam family: Bacterial small subunit ribosomal RNA
Source: RNAcentral